GUCAGUGUAGCUUAGUGGUUAAGGAGCUUGACUGGUAACUGAAAGGUUGCCGGUUCGAUUCCCCGCUGGGA
Molecule: non-coding RNA, 71 nt
Organism: Megalops atlanticus (tarpon)
Lineage: Eukaryota; Metazoa; Chordata; Actinopteri; Elopiformes; Megalopidae
Source: the annotation of a GenBank genome assembly